RNAcentral lists this ribosomal RNA (520 nucleotides) under Diaphorobacter sp. DS2. RNAcentral describes it as "bacterial SSU rRNA". It matches the Rfam family "Bacterial small subunit ribosomal RNA", at positions 1 to 514 of the family's 1533-position model. Lineage: Bacteria; Pseudomonadati; Pseudomonadota; Betaproteobacteria; Burkholderiales; Comamonadaceae. The record is from RNAcentral.
AGAUCGAACUGUAGAGUUUGAUCCUGGCUCAGAUUGAACGCUGGCGGCAUGCCUUACACAUGCAAGUCGAACGGUAACAGGUCUUCGGAUGCUGACGAGUGGCGAACGGGUGAGUAAUACAUCGGAACGUGCCCGAUCGUGGGGGAUAACGAGGCGAAAGCUUUGCUAAUACCGCAUACGAUCUACGGAUGAAAGCGGGGGAUCUUCGGACCUCGCGCGGACGGAGCGGCCGAUGGCAGAUUAGGUAGUUGGUGGGAUAAAGCUUACCAAGCCGACGAUCUGUAGCUGGUCUGAGAGGAUGAUCAGCCACACUGGGACUGAGACACGGCCCAGACUCCUACGGGAGGCAGCAGUGGGGAAUUUUGGACAAUGGGCGAAAGCCUGAUCCAGCCAUGCCGCGUGCAGGAUGAAGGCCUUCGGGUUGUAAACUGCUUUUGUACGGAACGAAAAGCCUCUUUCUAAUAAAGAGGGGUCAUGACGGUACCGUAAGAAUAAGCACCGGCUAACUACGUGCCAGCAG